RNAcentral lists this long non-coding RNA (18119 nucleotides) under Ananas comosus (pineapple). RNAcentral describes it as "long non-coding RNA (ACOM_LNC030592)". Lineage: Eukaryota; Viridiplantae; Streptophyta; Magnoliopsida; Poales; Bromeliaceae. The record is from RNAcentral.
UCCUCAAAAUACAUAGCUUUCCAACCUCACCUACAUGAAUUUCUCUCAAUACAUAGGUGUGCUAAUGCAAAAAGGAAAGCUACUAUACUACCACGGUCUCACUGGUCGGGAGCGAUGCCCUUGACGCGGUCCUCGCUCGGUAGACCUGUACCUACCACUGGAAAUAGAGUGGGGUAAGAACUAUCUUCCAUAGUUCCCAGUGGGCUCGGCCGCGGACUCCGCCGAUCUCCCCACUAGGUCCAAGUGGGCACAAGUAACAACAAAUAGAUAUAUAGAUAGAUAUCUAAAAGCUGUAAAGGCAUAAAAGAAUACUAUGCUACUAUGCCCAUAAUCAUGUAUAAUGAAUGCAUGCAUCAUAUAGUAAAGAUUUACUAUCAUGCUAACAAAUUCGAUCCAUGUUCGAAUGAUAAUGUUCCAUGACAUUGUUAACUGUUCAUUUACCCAAUCUGUGGCAAAGCCCUUGGGUUCGCCCUCGACUCACUUUGUCAUCCCAUUGGGUGGGGAGCUCCAUGUGCCCCCAGACCCAGGACCGUCUGCGGACCUCCAAGUGGUCCGGACCUCCCAAGUGGUCCAAAUCGCUCGACACUCCGGAGUACUCGACGACAAUCCCCUCCAUGUGGGGAUAUGGAUGGCUAUACCACCCCAAAAGCAGACUGUGAGCAUGAUCCAUCCCCUCCAUGUGGGGACAUCCUACCUCUAGGGCCAACAUCUCAAUAGACACUCGUCUAUAUCCUCUCCAUGUGAGGAUACCCUAUGAACUAGGGUCAACAUCUCUCGCGGAAUCAUCUGUUCCCGACAUUCAUGCAAUGCUAUUUAGCUUUUCUAAAUUCAUUGUUCACAAGGCAUUUUCUAAGGGAUCCACCUAUCCCUAGGUCCAUCGACCUCUAGUGUCAAAUACACUACAUUAAUGCCACUCGAUAUGUUCUUUAUCAUUUGAUGCCACUCGUUUGUUCUUUAGCAUUUAAACGCUACUUUCUAUGUCACCAAACACCCAUCGUGUUUCAUCUCUUUUCUUUAGCACUAGGAUUCAUGUUCCGACCCAAUCCUCACCUAUCCAAGUCACCAAGCAUUCCAUGUACACUAGGUUAUCAAUUAGAAAGCAUAAGAAAAAGUACUACAAUGCAAUCCUACAAUGCAAUAUGCAAGAGAUGCAAAUUAUGUAUUUCUAAGACAUAGAAAGGAGUCUGGUUGCUUCGGGAUGACACCCCCCACCUUUUGUAGUCGAUAAUUGCUGUGGAGGUCCUAGAAGUGUUCCUCGGCACUUCAAACCACUUGUUCUCCGCCUAUUUGGGAGAAACGAAGCUAGGUCGGUCCUACUUUGUCGAUAUCUCUACACCCACUCGACGAAUCGAAAUUCCGACUCCGCCAACGCGUUUGGACACCUAGCAAUUAGGUUUACAAGACCUCAAAUGAGAUCAAUCUCAUCUAUUUCUAAAAAUCCCAUUUUGGGUGCCCUAGGGUUAGCAUCAUGCCAUUUGCACCAUGAAACCUUAGCCUCUAGCUCUAAUCCACCAACAAUGGUGCUAGAAGUCCAUUUGACCUCAUCUCAAAAGCUCAAAACCCAAAACCCUAGAUUCUACAUGUUAGGGUUCAAGAGCUUACAUCUAGGUUAGCUCCAAAGGAAGAGGAGAUGAAGAUGGAGAUGUCCAAAGCCUUCUCUUUGGUCUCCUUCUUCUUCUCCUUCCCUUUCUUCUUCUUCUUCUUCCUCUUCUUCUCCUCUUUUUCCUUCUCCUUCUUUUCCUUUCUAGAGAGAGAGAGAGAGCAAAAGAGAGUGAGAGGGAGAGAGAAUGAGAGGCUAAGGGAGAGAGAGAGGGUCUACAUACCCCUCUAUUGUAACAAAAUCCAAUUUAGCCCCUCAACUUUUCAUCCAUUGCACGGCCUUCACUGGGCAGAAUUCGAGCGGAGGGACCGGUCUCCCCGACUUGGGACUGGUCCCCGAGAGCAGCCCAUGCUGCCAGGGGCCUUUCUCGCGUUCGGGAACCGGUCUCUCCCCGGGAAACCGGUCCUCGAGAGACCGGUCUUCGCCUGAGAGACCGGUCCCCGAGAGCUCGAUUUUCAAGACUUAGCUGAUUUUGGCCUUCUCUCGCUGGCGUCGCACACGGGGACCGGUCCCCUCAGCCAGGGACCGGUUGCAUCAAAGAUCCCCAGCAACCCCCAGCCUCAGGGACCAGUCUCUCCCUGCCAGGGACCGGUCCCCGAGAACAAUUUUAGCCCAGUGCAAGUUUGCACUAUAUGCUCUCGCAGACACGUUUCCAAUGCACUUUUUGUGUUUUGGAUAACCUUAGCUUUCCCGAAGGAUACUCACUCGACAAGUAGUCAAUCCAGGACGAAGUACAACUCUCGAAUUUCGAGAAUACGCUUCCUUACACUAGCCAUUCGAGUCCUUGCGGUGCAUAUUGGCUGCAGUAGGUUCAAUGUAGGAAUAGGAUGUGCACUUAUAUAGAAUCUAUCUUCCUUGGUAGAUAGGGGUGUUAGUCCUAUGUGAUUUAUGAGACCGAGUUUAGAAGACCUUGGCCAGAGCAGAGUUAAUAGCGCAAAAAGAGUUUCCGAUAUUAGAAACUUGAGUCGAAUAAAUUUGACAUAUGACAGACAAUAGGGUUUGACGAGUUAUUCCAUGACCUCCGUCUAGUCGGGACUCAUGAUAGAAGGAUUGUAUCAUACAGUAACUGCACCAAGAGGUUCAGUAUUCCAUUCUACUUAAAUGUCACUAUAUGCUACUAGGCGUCACUGGUGGAUUGUGAGACUUAUGAGAAUUAUUUAAAUGAUCGAUAAUUCUUAUUAGGCUGAGUUUGAAUUAUUCCGAUCCACUAAAAGGAGUUUCAGUAAUAUUGUUGAUAGUGAUCAAAAUAUAUCUCACUACCAUAUAGAAUAGAACGUAUGGGGUCACACACAUAAGAGGUUGUGAUUGAUCAGAUAGCUAGAUCGCAAUUUUUGAAUCGUCGGAGGACCUAAUUGUCAAUAUGUUGAUAAUUGGACUAAUUCGUAAUUAUUACAAAUUAGUGCUAUUAAAGUGUAAACGUUAUAAGAGAGGCCUUACUAAUAGUUAGUAAAUUAUAAGAGGACUUGUGCAAAUAUUGCAUUAUUAUUUUNCGAUGUCAUGAUAGGUCUCUACCUAUUCAUUCUUGCCACUCUCAAGGCCAUAUCCGUGAUGAUGCCAUAAUUUGGUUAAACUAGAUUUAACGGUUUAUCUCUCAAUGCCAAUCUUGUUUCUAUGUCAAUGUCACCCUUGUUUUCUAUUGUCCAAGUCCAACCUCACAUUCACACAACUUGAGGGUCCAAUCACACAUAUCCUUUUGGUUCUAUCAUCCACUAUGUUCAACUACGUUAGAAACAUAUAAAUGAAGUCAAACCAAGUUCCACAUGUAUCUACCCUGCUAUGCAUGAAUGGGUAUAUCUAUACAUAUAUGCUCAAGAGUAGAGAAAACAGACAUAGAAGGGAAUCCAACGAUUCCAGCGUGCACCCCCCACCUCUAAUAUCCGUGUGGGUGUAGAAUAUGAACGCUCCCGCACUUUAUGAAAGCCGAUUCCGCGCCCUACAUUCAAAACGGUGCCUUAUUAGGCCCUUUGUACAUGAACUAUACUCUAACAUUUUCGUAAUGUUAAAAGGAGUUGCCCAACGUGUUUAGGGCACCCCCAAUUAGGUUUUUACGGGGUCAAUUCGUCCCUAAAAAAUCCCAGGGCAAAAGCCUUAUUUCCAAGCCCUAACAAUGUCAUUUAGGGUUUCUCCAUGAAUCGAUCCCAACCCUAAGCAAACAAUAGCCUAGGAUCAUCUAAGAACAAUCCUAGUAAGAUUUCUAGACCCUUGGAACCAACCCUAGGGCUUCUAUGGCAAACCCUACCCAACCAUCAUGAGAGCACUUGAGCUCUCAUGGGUUCCAUAGAGUUCAAGGCAUAUAGAAGGCUCCCAUGGCCAAAAACAACCCAAAGCUCCAAAACAUAGGGAUUAAAACCAUGCCCUAGACUCAUUUAUACCCAAAAACUCACCUUAGCCCAAGCUCCUCCAAGUGCUUCUUGUAGGACAGCUUGUAGAACCCACCAAAGUCUCCAAAUCCACCUUCCCUUGCUUCUUCUUCUUCUUCUCCAAGCCCUAGAGCAAGAGUUCUAGAGAGAGAAAGAGAGGAAAUAAGAGAGAAGGGUGAAAAUGGCUGUGGGAGAGAGAGGGGUGUCAACAUAUAGUGUUGUGACAAUUACAUUUAAGCCUCUCAACUUGUUUCCCCUUGAUCUGCCCAGACUGGGCGUUUUUCGCCUUCGGGGACCGGUCUCCCCGACCAGGGACCGGUUCCCGAACGUGGGUGUUCCAGGACUUAGCCAAAUUUUCGGGUUUUUCGGCUGUUACGCAGCGAGGGACCGGUCUGCCCCUUCAGGGACCGGUCUCACCACCAGGGACCGGUUGCCUCAGGACUUCCUGGCAGGCUACGCGUAUGGGGACCGGUCUCUCCUUGAGGGACCGGUCCCCGAGAGCACAAAAUCUGGGACUUAGCCAGAUUUCCAGAUUACUCUCUCGGGUCCCUUUUAGCCUCACUUAUGGACUCUAAUGUGCUUAAGGUCCACUCAAACUCGUUCAUCUCCGCGGUCCGCUCGUUUCGCGGGAACUUGGCACGAUUUAUGAGGGAUGUGGUAUGUUACAUUCUCCACCCCUUAAUUUAGUUUCGUCCGCGAAACUUCUAAGGUUGAAAUUUAAAUUUCAUACCUCACUUCGGAUCCUCGAAGAGGUGAGGAUAACGCUCCCUCAUUUCGCUUUCGAGCUCCCACGUUUCUUCCCGGUCAUCAUGUUCGCACCAAUGAAUCUUGACAUAUGGGAUUUCGCGGUUCCGAAGCUUUCGCACCUCCCGAUCGACAAUAUAUGCCAGGAACUCCUCAUAAGUCAUAUCCUCUUGAAGUUCUAUCGGUAUGUACGAGAGAAUAUGAUCCGGGUCGUACACAUACUUGCGGAGUUGAGAUACAUAGAAUACAUCAUGUACUCUCGCCAGCCUCGGUGGUAAUGCCAACUUGUAGGCCACCGCUCCAACUCGUUCCAAAAUCUCGAAGGGUCCGAUAUAGCGGGGGCUCAAUUUCCCGCGAACACCGAACCGCUUAACUCCUCGCAUCGGCGAUACUUUUAGAAAUACGCGGUCUCCUACCGCGAACUCAAUAUCCUUUCGCCGCUUGUCGGCAUAACUUUUGUGCCUUGAUUGCGCCGUUACUAACCUUUGUCGGGCAAGGCGGACCUUCUCUUCCGCCUCCCGCACCACAUCCGGGCCAAGAACCAUUUUCUCGCCCACAUCGCUCCGGUGUAUCGACGAGCCACACUUCCUUCCAUACAGGGCCUCGAAUGGCGCCAUCGCAAUACUUUCCUGAUAACUAUUGUUAUAUGCGAAUUCCGCCAUCGGUAAAUGAUCGUGCCAUCCGCCCUUAUAAUCAAGUACACACGCUCGAAGCAUGUCCUCAAGUAUUUGAAUCGUCCUCUCCGAUUGACUGUUACUUUGAGGAUGGAAUGCCGUACUAAAGUCGAGCCUCGUGCCUAGUGCCUCUUGUAAGCUUUUCUAGAAAUGAGAUGUGAACCUAGGGUCCUGAUCCGAUACAAUAGAUACGGAACCCCAUGAAGUCUCACCACCUCGUCGAUAUAGACUUGAGCUAACUUAUCGCCCGACCAAGUAGUGUGGAACGGCAAAAAGUGUGCCGAUUUUGUCAACCAGUCCACAACUACCCAUAUCGCGUCAUGUCCACCUUGUGACUUAGGCAGCCCCGUCACAAAGUCCAUUGCAAUGUUUUCCCAUUUCCACACGGGUAUAGGUAGACUCUGCAAUUUUUUCGCUGAAAAUCGACGCUCCGCCUUCACUUGUUGGCACGUGAGGCAUUGCGCCACGAACUCCCCUAUAUCCCUCUUCAUACCCGGCCACCAAUAAUGCAAUUUCAAAUCUUGAUACAUUUUGGUACCGCCCGGGUGGAUGCUAUAGGGAGAUUGAUGCACUUCUUGCAUAAUCGCCCUCCGAAGAUCGUCGUCCUUGGGCACGCACCAACGACCUCGAUAUCGUAGUGCGCCGUCAGUUCCAAUGCCACAAUCAUCGGCACUACCACUUUCAAAUUUGCCCCGCACCUUUUGGAGAAACUCAUCCGAUGCUUGUAAUUCUUUAAUUUUCUCCAACAAGGUUGGUUGCACAAUUAAGGUGGCAAGUGUUGCCGGCACUCCCGGCGCCACAACUUCUAGUCCCAACCGUUGCAUCUCCUUCUGCAAUGCCGGUUGAGGCAUAAUUUCCGCCGCCAAAUUUUCCGCCGAUUUUCUACUUAGAGCAUCGGCCACGACGUUCGCUUUUCCGGGGUGGUAGAGAAUCGUGACAUCAUAAUCUUUAAGCAACUCUAACCACCGCCGCUGUCGCAAGUUCAGCUCCUUCUGGGUGAACAAAUAUUUGAGACUCUUAUGAUCGGUGUAGAUCUCACAAUGUUCCCCAUACAGGUAAUGACUCCACAGUUUUAGCGCGAAAAUAAUUGCCGCUAGCUCAAGAUCGUGAGUCGGGUAGUUCUUUUCAUAACUCUUCAAUUGGCGCGAAGCAUAAGCUAUGACUCGGCCGUUUUGCAUUAAGACACACCCGAGACCGAUGUAUGAGGCAUCAUUGUAUACGACAUAGUUUUCUCCCGACGUCGGCAAGGCGAGCACCGGAGUAGACGUCAGUCUAGUCUUUAGCUCCUCAAAGCUCCACUCACACUCGGGGCUCCACACAAACUUCACCUCUUUGUGCGUAAGGCGCGUUAGUGGAGUUGUUAUCUUAGCAAUCCCUUUCAUGAACCGCCGGUAAUAGCCCGCAAGUCCAAGGAAGCUACGAAUUUUCGCUACACUUGUCGGGCGAGGCCAAUCCUUAAUCGCCUCAACUUUCUUUGGGUCCACCGAGAUGCCAUCUCCGGACACAACGUGGCCCAAAAAGGUGACCUCUGAAAGCCAAAACUCGCAUUUCUUUAGUUUUGCGUAAAGCUUUUCCUUCCGGAGUAUCUCCAACACGAGUCUUAGAUGCUCCUCGUGUUCUUCCUCGGUCCGAGAAUAUACCAAUACGUCGUCAAUGAAAACCACGACGCACCGGUCCAAUAGCGGACGGAAGAUCUGAUUCAUUAAGUCCAUAAAUGCCGUCGGUGCAUUAGUGAGCCCGAAUGGCAUGACCGUGAACUCAUAGUGGCGGUACCGCGUACGGUAUGCCGUCUUGUGCACAUCUUUGGGACGUAUCUUCAAUUGAUGAUACCCUGACUGCAGAUCAAUCUUUGAAUAUACCCUUGACCCCUGCAAUUGGUCGAACAGGUCAUCAAUUCUUGGCAACAGGUAUUUGUUCUUGAUCGUCACUCUAUUCAACUCGCGGUAAUCAACGCAGAGCCGGAGUGUUCCGUCCUUCUUCUUUACAAAUAGCACGGGAGCUCCCCACGGGGACACGCUCGGCCGCACGAAGCCCUUAUCGAGCAAAUCCUGUAACUGAGCUUUCAACUCUUUUAGCUCCAUCGGUGCCAUUCUGUACGGAGCCUUCGAAAUUGGCGCCGCCCCGGGAAUCAAGUCGAUAACAAACUCGACUUCUCGAUCCGGGGGUAGUCCCGGUAACUCCGCUGGGAAUACAUCCGGAUACUCCCACACAACUCGAAUACUCUCCAGUUCCGGGUAUUCUUUUCGAGGGUCUACGAUGGUCGCCAAGUAGGCCUUACAACCACCUUUAAUCAUCCUUUUUGCCCUCACCGUCGAUAUAGUUGCUGCGAAGCGUUUGCCCUUGCACGCCCGAUAGACAAACUCCUCUUGGUUGGGUUCACGGAACGUGAUCACCCUUCUUUCACAAUCUAUAACCGCGUAGUACUUGGAGAGCCAGUUGAUCCCCAAGAUUACUUCGAAUCCCCACAUUUCUUUCAACACGAGGAGGUCGAUCGACAUAACCCAAUCACCUAUUUGCACUGGGCAGUCCAAGCACUCAUCAUAGACGUCGAUCGAGUGCUCAGGAGUGUUCACCGACCAAUACUCCUUAUUAUGAGUGAUCUCUAUAUUAUGAGCUCGUGCAAAUGAUGCUAAUAUGAAUGAAUGAGAUGCACCCGUAUCAAAUAUGGCUCUAGCCCUAGUGCCUCUAAUCAGAAUAAUACCUGCCACGACGUCGUCGGGAACGAUGAUGGGUGGCUCCUCCACCUGAGUGGCAAAAACCCGCCUACUAGGUGCUCGAGAAGCCUCCGGCUGACGUGGCGCCGACGAUCGUCCAGCAGAUGUUGCGAGUGGCAGUCCCGCCAGCUAUCGCUGCGUGUACUGUACUGAGGCUGAUGACGGGGCUGGGAACGCGCCGCCCGAGCACUCUCGACUCAUGUGCCCUGGUUGGCCACAUCGAUAACACCGCCUCUCCCGCUGUGGGCAACUGGUGGCUCUAUGCUCCCCGCCGCAUAUCACACACGGGUAGUUAAUCUGGCCUCGUGUCUGACUCAUACCUCCCUGCCAUUGCGAUCGUUGUGGUCGCGGGGGUCACUUAGAACUCGACUGCCCCGCCGAUCCACCAGCCGACCGUUUUUUUGACUUAUCUCUUUCCCUUUCUCUCUCAAAGGUCUCGCGCUCAUCACGCGCGAUUGCAUUCCCGCGCUCCACCCAAAGCGCGCGAUCAAGCACUUCCUCGUAGGUAUUCAACCGGAAAGCAUGUAUGACCUUAAAAAUCUCGGGUCGCAACCCGCGCUCGAAUACUUCCGCUCGGUCCCUAUCUCCAUGGACCAAGUCCGGCACAUAGUUAAUAAUGUGCGUGAACUCCCUCUCGUACUUCCGCACUGAACGGCUUCCUUGCCUCAGCUUCCUGAAAUCCUCCUUGAUUUUUCUUUUGUCGCUUUCGGGGAAAUACUCCAUCAGCAGCAUCUCCCGGAACGCUUCCCAAGUAAGGAAAGGGUGCCCUAGCGAGCGAUUUUUUCUCGCUUGGUUCCACCACAACCGGACCGACCCAUCGAAGCAAUGAGCCGCUAGGUGAACUUUAUCCUUCUCAAGGGUAUAGAUAUCCUCGAAUAAGGCCUCCAUCGCGGCUAACCAAUUCUCCAUCGUCCACGGAUCCUUCACGUUACCGUUGAAGGUUGGAGGGUUAAACUACUUAAAUGACGUCAGCGCCGCCAACGUGCGCUCCUGCUCGGCCUCAAGUACAUCGAAAAUUGGAGCCGAUGAACCCGAUGCCGUCGGAGGAAUAGCCGUCACUGGCGCUGCCGCCACCGCAGGAGGUGGUGCUACAGGAGCAGCUGGUGCAGGCGGAUACCUCGGCACAGAUGCCGCCACUGCCUGUUGCGCCAUCAUUUCAUGGAGCUGCCCAAUCCGCUCUCCUUGAAGCCGCAUAGCCCCGGCCAACGCUGCUACCUGGGCUCGCAGCUCACGCACGUCAUCCGACCCCGACUGCCCGGGCUCCUCCCGAGGCUCCGCCGGUGUGGACCUCGUAACUCUCCUUGGUAGUGCCAUCGCGUCCUGAAACGCAAUGUAUACACACACAUUAGUACUCGAAGCACGUGAUUCUUACACGUUACAAACAACUACCCAAUUAAGCGAAAGCACAAGCCUAAUUAUUUCCACUCCCGGUGUUAUGUGGUCGGCCGCCCCACAGAGUCCCUUAAGUAGACAACAAUUAAGCCUUCUAAUCCAUCUCUACUUCCUUCUAGAGAAGUGUUAUAGUUAACCCAAUCAUUCGCUUUCGCAUAAACCAAGUCCACGUCAAGCGUUUUCUUAAGUCCUUAGAGUCUCCAAACCUAUGGUUUCUAGGUCACUCCUAGACUUUUGCUUUCCACUUCGCUCUGAUACCAUUAUAUCUGUCACGGCCCAAUCCCCGCCAAUUUGGUCAGGUUUGGGGCACGUCGACAGACGCCGAGCGGACAGAGCCUCCCCUGUCCGCCCAAGGCUCUAAGAACAAGUAUAAAUAGGCAAUCAACAAGCGAUUUGCAUAUGUAAUACAAGGCUUGCACGAGGGUAAGCAACAACGGAAACGAGAGCUCUAAACUAAUAUACUACAUACAUGAUACUUGAUUUCAUUUGAACCAAAUAUAAGUAAAUAAAACUAUUACAUUUCCAUUCAACCAUCAAAUCUUUUACAUUUAGUCAUCCACCCAACACAUGCUUGUUUACAUCUUUACAUCUCACUAAUUCAACAAAAUAAAGUUGAUACGUAUACACCAAAAGGGGAAUGACUACAAAAUGCAUAAUGUCCCGGUGGCCGCUAUCUAUGGCGCUAUACCCUUGCCUCGGUCCUCCGCCGCCCCGCUCGUGCUAGGGCCUGUAGGGUUAGUGGUGUGAGAACUACAACAAAGUUUCCAGUGGGCUUGGCAUCCGACCUCGCCGACUUACCCACUAGGUCUAUCCAGGCAUAAGUAUUUCAAAGGAGGAAAAGUAACCACCACUAAUUCAACUAGUAUUAUGCCUGCAAGAAAGAAGUCAGUAGAUAUAUAAUUUCAAUGCGAUAAUGGAAAUGCAUGCAUGCUCCAAUCAUAAUCAAGCUUUGGCUCUUACCCAAUCUUACCGGUUAACUCUGUUAACCCCAAUAACUCACAACCCAAAAUUCCUUAAUAACAGGGGACUCGAACCUCCCUAGGGACCGUCAACUGGUGGGACUUUACCUCGCCCAGUGGUGACCAACUCCGGAGCGCACCGCUCGAGGAGGAGCGACCUCCCUCAAGCCAAGACGUAAUGUGAGCAUCGAUCUAAUCCCCAACUUGAGGAUUCAUAACCACUGGUCACAAUGCCGAUGUCAUGAUAGGUCUCUACCUAUUCAUUCUUGCCACUCUCAAGGCCAUAUCCGUGAUGAUGCCAUAAUUUGGUUAAACUAGAUUUAACGGUUUAUCUCUCAAUACCAAUCUUGUUUUUAUGUCAAUAUCACCCUUGUUUUCUAUUGUCCAAGUCCAACCUCACAUUCACACAACUUGAGGGUCCAAUCACACAUGUCUUUUUGGUUCUAUCGUCCACUAUGUUCAACUACGUUAGAAAUAUAUAAAUGAAGUCAAAUCAAGUUCCACAUGUAUCUACCCUACUAUGCAUGAAUGGGUAUAUCUAUACAUAUAUGCUCAAGAGUAGAGAAAACAGACAUAGAAGAGAAUCCAACGAUUCCGGCGUGCACUCCCCACCUCUAAUAUCCGUGUGGGUGUAGAAUAUGAAGGCUCCCGCACUUUACGAAAGCCGAUUCCGCGCCCUACAUUCAAAACGGUGCCUUAUUAGGCCCUUUGUACAUGAACUAUACUCUAACAUUUUCGUAAUGUUAAACGGAGUUGCCCAACGUGUUUAGGGCACCCCCAAUUAGGUUUUUACGGGGUCAAUUCGUCCCCAAAAAAUCCCAGGGCAAAAGCCUCAAUUUCCAAGCCCUAACAAUGUCAUUUAGGGUUUCUCCAUGAAUCGAUCCCAACCCUAAGCAAACAAAUAGCCUAGGAUCAUCUAAGAAGCAUCAUAGUAAGGUUUCUAGACCCUUGGAACCAACCCUAGGGCUUCUAUAGCAAACCCUGCCCAACCACCAUGAGAGCACUUGAGCUCUCAUGGGUUCCACAGAGUUCAAGGCAUAUAGAAGGCUCCCAUGGCCAAAAACAACCCAAAGCUCCAAAACAUAGGGAUUAAAACCAUGCCCUAGACUCAUUUAUACCCAAAAACUCACCUUAGCCCAAGCUCCUCCAAGUGCUUCUUGUAGGAGAGCUUGUAGAACCCACCAAAGCCUCCAAAUCCACCUUCCCUUGCUUCUUCUUCUUCUUCUCCAAGCCCUAGAGCAAGAGUUCUAGAGAGAGAAAGAGAGGAAAUAGGAGAGAAGGGUGAAAAUGACUGUGGGAGAGAGAGGGGUGUCCACAUAUAGUGUUGUGACAAUUGCAUUUAAGCCCCUCAACUUGUUUCCCCUUGAUCUGCCCAGACUGGGCGUUUUUCGCCUUCGGGGACCGGUCUCCCCGACCAGGGACCGGUUCCCGAACGUGGGUGUUCCAGGACUUAGCCAAGUUUUCGGGUUUUUCUGCUGUUACGCAGCGAGGGACCGGUCUGCCCCUUCAGGGACCGGUCUCCCGAGGACCGGUCUCACCACCAAGGACCGGUUGCCUCAGGACUUCCUGGCAGGCUACACGUACGGGGACCGGUCUCUCCUUGAGGGACCGGUCCCCGAGAGCACAAAAUCUGGGACUUAGCCAGAUUUCCAGAUUACUCUCUCGGGUCCCUUUUAGCCUCACUUAUGGACUCUAAUGUGCUUAGGGUCCACUCAAACUCGUUCAUCUCCACGGUCCGCUCAUUUCGAGGGAACUCGGCAUGAUUUACGAGGGAUGUGGUAUGUUACACUAUAUGCUCUCGCGGACUCAACUCCAAUGCACUUUUUGUGUUUUGGAUAAAUUUAGCUUUCCCAAAGGAUACUCACUCGACAAUUAGUCGAUCCUGGAUGAAGUACAACUCUCGGAUUUCGAGAAUUCACUUCCUUACAUCCUUCCCUCCUUAAAAAGAGUUUCGUCCUCGAAACUAACUCGAUUCUUUACUUUAACUUAAAUUUUUACCUCACUCCUCGAACAAAUGAGGGUGGUGCUUCCUCAUUAAAUCCUCGAGUUCCGAGGUGGCCUAGCGAUCAUCAUGAUUGCUCCACUGAACCUUCACGUAGGGAAUUUCUCGAUUCCUCAACUUACGCACCUCUCGUGCGAUAAUCAUCACCGGAAACUCUUCAUAGCUCAAGUCCUCUUGAAGCUCCGAUAGCUCAUAUAGCAUUGCAUGCUCGGGGUCGUGAAUAUACUUGCGGAGAUUGGAGACAUGGAACACAUUGUAUACAUCCGCGAGCUUCGGCGGCAAGACGAGUCGAUAAGCCACCGUGCCAACUUGCUCCAAUAUUUCAUAGGGUCCAAUGUAUCGGGGACUCAAUUUUCUCCGCACUCCAAACCGCUUCACACCCCGCAUCGGUGAAACCUUCAAGAAUACGGGGUCGCCCACCACGAACUCUAUAUCUCGUCGGCGCCUAUCUGCAUAGCUUUGCUGUCUCGACUGCGCCGUGAGCAAUCUCUUGCGAGCAAGGUGGACUUUCUUCUCCGCUUCUCGCAGAAUAUCGGGGCCGAACUCUGCACACUAACCCACAUCGCUCCAGUGUAUAGGAGAUCGACACGUCCGCCCAUAGAGAGCCUCGAACGGUGCCAUCUCCACACUAGCAUGAUAACUGUUGUUGUAGGCGAACUCAGCCAUAGGUAGGUGAUCACACCAACUUCCCUUAUAGUCGAUGACACACGCUCGCAACAUGUCCUCCAGAGUUUGAAUGGUUCUCUCUGUUUGCCCAUCAGUCUGAGGAUGAAAUGCGGUGCUAAAGUCGAGUCGUGUGCAAAGGGCAUCCUGCAGGCUUUUUCAGAAGUGUGAAGUGAACCGGGGGUCACGAUCUGACACGAUCGAUUUCGACACCCCAUGCAGUCUCACUAUCUCGUCGAGGUAUGCCUGCGCUAACUUGUCACCCGACCACGUGGUGUGGAUCGGCAAGGAGUGAGCCGACUUCGUCAAUCGGUCCACAAUUACCCAAAUUGCAUCAUGGCCGCCCGUUGAGCGAGGCAAGCCGACCACGAAGUCCAUCGAUAUAUCCUCCCAUUUCCAAACGGGGAUUGGUAGGCUUUGAAGCUUUCCCACUGGGAAUUGACGCUCUGCUUUCACUUGUUGGCAUGUUAAGCACUUCGCCACAAAGCGUCCAAUAUCACUCUUCAUUCCCGGCCACCAGUAGUGCAUUUUUAGUCCUUGAUACAUCUUGGUGCUGCCCGGGUGAUCAGCAUAUGGAGACCGAUGCGCUUCUUGUAGAAUUAGCUCGCGAAGCUCUCCAUCUUUUGGCACACACCAUCGGUUUUGAAACCGGAGUAAACCACUGGUGUCUAAAUUGAAAUCGCCGCCUCGACCUUCCUCGAUGUUUUGCCGCACCUUUUGGAGUUCUGGGUCUGUGGGUUGUAGAUCUUUGAUCCUCUGCAACAAGGUCGGUUGAAUAACGAGCGCCAUUAACUGGGCCGGAACCUUGGGAGCGACCACCUCAAGGUUCAUCCGCUCCAUGUCUAACCACAAGGGUGAUUAAUUUGUAACCCACAUCGAGAGGUUCUCCGCCGACUUUCUGCUCAAUGCAUCAGCGACCACAUUGGCUUUCCCGGGGUGGUAGAAGAUAUCGACGUCAUAGUCCUUUAACAAUUCUAACCACCGCCGCUGUCGCAUAUUGAGCUCCUUCUGUGUGAACAUAUAUUUUAAACUCUUGUGGUCCGUGUAAAUCUCACAAUGGGCACCAUACAAGUAGUGCCACCACAGCUUCAAGGCAAAGAUUACCGCUGCUAGCUCCAAAUCGUGGAUGGGGUAGUUCUUCUCAUAGCUCUUCAGCUGAUGGGAUGCAUAAGCAAUCACCUUCCCGUUUUGCGUCAAAACAUACCCCAGUCCUAGAUAGGAGGCAUCGCUGUAGACUACGAAGUCUUCGCCUUGUACCGGUAGAGCGAGCACCGGAGUCGAAGUUAAUUUUUGCUUCAACUCUUUAAAACUCCGGUCGCACUCUUCGCUCCACACGAACCUAGUGCCCUUCUGAGUUAGGCGGGUAAGUGGAAUCACUAUCUUGGAAAAGCCUUCCACAAACCGCCUAUAAUAGCCCGCCAAGCCCACGAAGCUUCGAACCUCCAUGACAUUCGUCGGGCGCGGCCAAUCCUUGAUUGCCUCAACUUUCCUCGGGUCUACAAAAACUCCACCUGCGGAAAUCACAUGCCUUAUAAAUGGGACUUCACGGAGCCAGAAAUCACACUUCUUUAACUUAGCAUACAGCUUCUCCUCCCGAAGGGUUUGAAGCACUAUCCUCAAAUGCUCGGCAUAUUCCUCGUCACUACGAGAAUAGACCAACCACGACAAAUUGAUCUAAAAACUUCCUGAAGACAUGGUUCAUCAAGUCCAUAAAUGCCGCUGGAGCGUUCGUGAGUCCAAAUGGCAUGACCGUGAAUUCAUAGUGCCCAUACCGCGUACGAAACGCAGUUUUCUGCAUAUCCUCCGGCUUGAUCUUCAACUGGUGAUAGCCGGACUGCAAAUCUAUCUUCGAGUACACACACGACCCCUGCAACUGAUCGAACAGGUCAUCGAUUUGGGGUAGUGGGUACUUGUUCUUGAUCGUGACUCUGUUAAAUUCUCGAUAGUCCACACAGAGUCGAAACGAUCCGUCCUUCUUCCGUACAAACAACACUGGGGCUCUCCACGGUGAUACACUUGACCGGAUAAACUGUUUGUCGAGAAGGUCUUGCAAUUGACUCCUCAACUCCUUCAGUUCCGCCAGCGCCAUUCGGUACGGAGCCUUCGAGAUCGGUGCGAUACCGGGAACCAAGUCUAUGACGAACUCGAUCUCCCGAUCCGGUGAUAUCCCCGGUAAUUCCGCAGGAAAUACAUCCGGGAACUCUCGCACCGCCGAUAACUCCUGUAAUGUUGGAGCUACUCGUUCCACUUCCACAACAGUCGCUAAGAAUGCCGUGCAACCACUGUUAACCAACUUCCUUGCUCUCGUCGCCGACACCGUCGCGACGAAGCACGAGCUCUGACAAGCCCGAUAUGUGAACUCCUUUUGUCCUGGCUCACGAAAUGUAAUUACUCUGCUCUUGCAGUCGAUCGUUGCAUGAUAUUUCGAGAGUUAGUCCAUGCCCAAAAUGAUGUCAUAAGCCUCGAGCUUCUUGAGUUCUGGCGUUCGAAUAGGCAUUAUCCAGUCACCCACUUGUACUGGACGCGACGCACACUCCGAGUAAGUGUUAAACGUCGACCCAGGGCCCUCAACUCGCCACUUGUCAGUCGCCUCUAUGAGUAUGCCAUGCAUGCGUGUGAAUGAUCUACUUAUGAAUGAAUGCGUGGCUCAUGUAUCAAAUAAAGCCCUGGAGCGAACUCCGUUAAUUAAAACCAUACCUGCCACAAGGCGAUGCUCCUCCGCCUCCGCAGGCUCCUCGGCUUGAACCUGAGCGGCGAAUACCCGACCGCUCGGAGUUGAUCGCGUCACCUCGGGUUGACGCGGCAUCACCGCGCGUCCCGUCGACGCGGCCGCCGGUGGAGCUCCUCCAUAGUGAGCCGGAAUCGCCGACGCCAAUGCAAUCGAUGGGGCAGGUGAGGCUCCUCCUCCCGGGCAGUCCUGAAUGAAGUGCCCCGGUUGCCCACACUUGUAGCACUUGCCUCGGCCCUGCUCACGUCACGAGACUGGGUGGUCUCCGCCGCAUAUGAUACACCGUCGCGCUCCACCGCCCUUUGGCUGAGUCCGUGGAUACUUCGGGGGCUUCUUGGAACGUGUUUGUCCCCCCGAACCGCCGCCGCCUUGGCGUUUCUUGCCCUUGUCCUUGGACUCGGCCAACAUCUCACGCUUCUCUCGGACAUGGGCGUCUCCGUGCUCCACCGAAAGUGCUCAGUCGAAGACCUCCGCAAAGGUCGUGAGCUUGAGUAUCUGCACAGCCUUAUAAAUCCCCGGCCGAAGUCCUCGCAAGAACCAAUCGGCCCGGUCCCGGUCAUCCUUCACUACGUCCGGAACACAAUCAAUGAUGUGGGAGAACUCUUGUUCAUAUUCCGCCACAGAGCGGUCCCCUUGCUCCAACUUGCGAAACUUCUCCUUGAGCUUCAGCUUCAGCGUAUCGGGGAAGUAGUUGGCGAACAUCUCCCGCUUGAAUUCCUCCCACAGCAUUGGCAGGAGAUCGGAAGACCGAUCUCGCUUCACGCGCUUCUACCAUACCUUUGCCGCUUUCUCCAAACAGUGGGUGGCAAGGUACACCUUAUCCCUCUCCAAGGUGCGCAAGUCCUCAAAGAAAGUCUCCAUCGAAUCGAUCCAAGACUCGACCAUCGCCGGCUCCAUCUUCUCGCCCUAAAAGGUAGGCGGAUGGAACUUGUUGAACAUAAUAAGAGCCGCCAAUGCGCGCUCUCCUUCCACAUCUUCGGCCGUCACAUCGGGUGUAGCCGAUCCCGACGCCGCCUAUGGUACGAUCGCUGGCGGUGGGCGUGCCGUCACCGGAACAGCCGCUAUGCCCUCACCCUCUGCCGCUCCGGGUACAUGAGUCGAGGGUGCGGGUGGACCACCGCCCUCGUUCACCGUCGCAGCCGCCACCGCAACCUGCCGCUCCAAAAGAUCCUAGAGCCGCUCGAAUCAGGUCUCCUAGCGCUGCACCACAUUGGUCAACGCGGUCACUUGCGCCCGCAACUGUUCCAUCUCGCUCGGUUCAGCCUGCUCGGGCACCUCGGGAAGCGGUGCCGGAGUAGACCUUGUGCUCGGGCAUCCACUUGGAGCCAUUGGCUCCUGAAACGCAAGUACUUGGUUAAUUAUCUUAACCCGUUCGCCUCGUCGCAAUUACGACACACAACGACUCAACAACGAAAUCGGGCGGAAGCACACAAGUGUACUCGUUCUAGACUCUUGGUAUCAUGUUAUCGGCCGCCGACACAACCACCUCAAGACAAAAACUCAUGCCACUUAAAUCCGUCUCUAAUCACAACUAGAGACAUAUUACCAACUUCGACCCAAUCGAAUCAACUUCCGACAUCGCUAUAGGUUCACGUUCCGCUCACGCACUUAUAACCUUAGGGCUUACCAACCUAGGGUCUCCUAGGUCAUCCUAGACUUUCUCUCUUUACUUGCUCUUAUUACUGUGAUACCAUAUGACUGUCACGCCCCGCCCCGAAACUACUACCAAUUUGGUACGAUUCGGGCGCGCCGGGCAGACCGCAGAAUGGACAGCGCCUCCCCUGUCCGCCCAAGGCUCAACAACAGGUAUGUGUACAAGAAUUUAUCCAGAAAAUUUAAAUUCUAAACAUACACAUUCAACGGGGCACAAGUAGUGCCAAUAACUAAGAGCAAGUAAUCCACAAGUGAAAACAAGUGAAAUAAAGAGAAUACUUUACUAACUAUUGCAAUAGUUUUGCAUCUUUUUACAUGUACAUCUUUUCCUCAAAAUGAAUUCAUAUGUUCAUUCAAAAUACAUAGCUCUCCAAAUCCUCACCUACAUGAAUCUCUCUCAAUACAUAGGUGUGCUAAUGCAAAAAGGAAAGCUACUAUACUACCACGGUCUCACUGAUUGGGCGCGAUGCCCUUGUCACGGUCCUCUCUCGGUAAAUCUGUACCUACCACUGGAAAUAGAGUGGGGUGAGAACUAUCUUCCAUAGUUUCUAGUGGGCUCGGCCGCCGACUCCGCCGGUCUCCCCACUAGGUCCAAGUGGGCACAAGUAACAACAGAUAGAUAGAUAGAUA